GGGAGAGGCCCGACAGCAACGAAAACUGCUAAUUUUCGGCACCUCGGUUAAACUCCGGGGCUCACUCA
RNAcentral lists this transfer RNA (68 nucleotides) under Synagrops bellus (blackmouth bass). RNAcentral describes it as "tRNA-Ser". The record is from RNAcentral. Lineage: Eukaryota; Metazoa; Chordata; Actinopteri; Acropomatiformes; Acropomatidae. RNAcentral also lists the same sequence under 1 other name.